This 463-nucleotide ribosomal RNA is filed under the name uncultured bacterium. RNAcentral's name for it is "partial 16S ribosomal RNA". It matches the Rfam family "Bacterial small subunit ribosomal RNA", at positions 28 to 507 of the family's 1533-position model. The record is from RNAcentral.
GAUGAACGCUGACAGAAUGCUUAACACAUGCAAGUCGAUGGGGAAGUGGUGCUUGCACCAUGGAAACCAUGGCGGACGGGUGAGUAACGCGUAAGGGACUUACCUGCAGGACUGGGAUAACAGGGGGAAACUCCUGACAAGACCGGAUAAUGUCAUGGAGCUGCAUGGCUUUAUGAUGAAAGGAGACGCCUGCGGAGAGCCUUGCGUCCUAUUAGCUAGUUGGUGAGGUAAUGGCUCACCAAGGCGAAGAUAGGUAGCCGGCCUGAGAGGGUGGACGGCCACAAGGGGACUGAGAUACGGCCCUUACUCCUACGGGAGGCAGCAGUGGGGAAUAUUGGACAAUGGGGGCAACCCUGAUCCAGCAAUUCUGUGUGCACGAAGAAGGUUUUCGGAUUGUAAAGUGCUUUCAGCAGGGAAGAAGUAAGUGACGGUACCUGCAGAAGAAGCGACGGCUAAAUACGUG